UACGUAGGGGGCAAGCGUUGUCCGGAUUUAUUGGGCGUAAAGAGCGUGUAGGCGGCCAGGUAGGUCUGCUGUGAAAACUCGAGGCUCAACCUCGAGACGCCGGCGGAAACCAUCUGGCUAGAGUCCGGAAGAGGAGAGUGGAAUUCCUGGUGUAGCGGUGAAAUGCGUAGAUAUCUGGAGGAACACCGGUGGCGAAGGCGGCGUUCUGGACUGCAACUGACACUGUAAAACGAAAGCCAGGGGAGCAAACGGG
This 253-nucleotide ribosomal RNA is filed under the name uncultured bacterium. RNAcentral describes it as "partial 16S ribosomal RNA". It matches the Rfam family "Bacterial small subunit ribosomal RNA", at positions 524 to 776 of the family's 1533-position model. The record is from RNAcentral.